AGCGAACGCUGGCGGCAGGCUUAACACAUGCAAGUCGAACGGAUCCUUCGGGAUCAGUGGCAGACGGGUGAGUAACACGUGGGAACGUGCCUUUUGGUUCGGAACAACUCAGGGAAACUUGAGCUAAUACCGGAUGUGCCCUUCGGGGUAAGGAUUAUCGCCAUUAGAGCGGCCCGCGUCUGAUUAGCUAGUUGGUGAGGUAAAGGCUCACCAAGGCUUCGAUCAGUAGCUGGCUGAGAGGAUGAUCAGCCACCACUGGGACUGAGACACGGCCCAGACUCCUACGGGAGGCAGCAGUGGGGAAGUCUUGCGCAAUGGGGGCGAACCCUGAUCCAGCAAUGCCGCGUGUGUGAA
RNAcentral lists this ribosomal RNA (354 nucleotides) under uncultured bacterium. RNAcentral describes it as "bacterial SSU rRNA". It matches the Rfam family "Bacterial small subunit ribosomal RNA", at positions 29 to 409 of the family's 1533-position model. The record is from RNAcentral.